Molecule: ribosomal RNA, 3010 nt
Filed under: Salmonella enterica subsp. enterica serovar Gallinarum
Lineage: Bacteria; Pseudomonadati; Pseudomonadota; Gammaproteobacteria; Enterobacterales; Enterobacteriaceae
Also listed under: 2 other names
Description: 23S ribosomal RNA
Rfam family: Bacterial large subunit ribosomal RNA
Source: RNAcentral
GGGUUGUGAGGUUAAGCGACUAAGCGUACACGGUGGAUGCCCUGGCAGUCAGAGGCGAUGAAGGGCGUGCUAAUCUGCGAUAAGCGCCGGUAAGGUGAUAUGAACCGUUAUAACCGGCGAUACCCGAAUGGGGAAACCCAGUGUGAUUCGUCACACUAUCAUUAACUGAAUCCAUAGGUUAAUGAGGCGAACCGGGGGAACUGAAACAUCUAAGUACCCCGAGGAAAAGAAAUCAACCGAGAUUCCCCCAGUAGCGGCGAGCGAACGGGGAGGAGCCCAGAGCCUGAAUCAGCAUGUGUGUUAGUGGAAGCGUCUGGAAAGGCGCGCGAUACAGGGUGACAGCCCCGUACACAAAAGCGCAUGUGCUGUGAGCUCGAUGAGUAGGGCGGGACACGUGGUAUCCUGUCUGAAUAUGGGGGGACCAUCCUCCAAGGCUAAAUACUCCUGACUGACCGAUAGUGAACCAGUACCGUGAGGGAAAGGCGAAAAGAACCCCGGCGAGGGGAGUGAAAAAGAACCUGAAACCGUGUACGUACAAGCAGUGGGAGCACAGGUUUACCUGUGUGACUGCGUACCUUUUGUAUAAUGGGUCAGCGACUUAUAUUCUGUAGCAAGGUUAACCGAAUAGGGGAGCCGGAGGGAAACCGAGUCUUAACCGGGCGUUAAGUUGCAGGGUAUAGACCCGAAACCCGGUGAUCUAGCCAUGGGCAGGUUGAAGGUUGGGUAACACUAACUGGAGGACCGAACCGACUAAUGUUGAAAAAUUAGCGGAUGACCUGUGGCUGGGGGUGAAAGGCCAAUCAAACCGGGAGAUAGCUGGUUCUCCCCGAAAGCUAUUUAGGUAGCGCCUCGUGAAUUCAUCUCCGGGGGUAGAGCACUGUUUCGGCUAGGGGGCCAUCCCGGCUUACCAACCCGAUGCAAACUGCGAAUACCGGAGAAUGUUAUCACGGGAGACACACGGCGGGUGCUAACGUCCGUCGUGAAGAGGGAAACAACCCAGACCGCCAGCUAAGGUCCCAAAGUCAUGGUUAAGUGGGAAACGAUGUGGGAAGGCCCAGACAGCCAGGAUGUUGGCUUAGAAGCAGCCAUCAUUUAAAGAAAGCGUAAUAGCUCACUGGUCGAGUCGGCCUGCGCGGAAGAUGUAACGGGGCUAAACCAUGCACCGAAGCUGCGGCAGCGAACGUAUCACUUAAAGCGAUUCAGCGGGUUACGAUUGACGGAGCGAAGCGACGUCAAAGCGUAUACAAAGUCGAGUCGGUUUAAGGAUACGUUCGUUGGGUAGGGGAGCGUUCUGUAAGCCUGCGAAGGUGGCCUGUGAGGGUUGCUGGAGGUAUCAGAAGUGCGAAUGCUGACAUAAGUAACGAUAAAGCGGGUGAAAAGCCCGCUCGCCGGAAGACCAAGGGUUCCUGUCCAACGUUAAUCGGGGCAGGGUGAGUCGACCCCUAAGGCGAGGCCGAAAGGCGUAGUCGAUGGGAAACGGGUCAAUAUUCCCGUACUUGGUGUUACUGCGAAGGGGGGACGGAGAAGGCUAUGUUGGCCGGGCGACGGUUGUCCCGGUUUAAGCGUGUAGGUGUGUGUUCCAGGUAAAUCCGGUUCACUUUAACACUGAGGCGUGAUGACGAGGCACUACGGUGCUGAAGUAACAAAUGCCCUGCUUCCAGGAAAAGCCUCUAAGCAUCAGGUAACAUCAAAUCGUACCCCAAACCGACACAGGUGGUCAGGUAGAGAAUACCAAGGCGCUUGAGAGAACUCGGGUGAAGGAACUAGGCAAAAUGGUGCCGUAACUUCGGGAGAAGGCACGCUGACACGUAGGUGAAGUGAUUUACUCACGGAGCUGAAGUCAGUCGAAGAUACCAGCUGGCUGCAACUGUUUAUUAAAAACACAGCACUGUGCAAACACGAAAGUGGACGUAUACGGUGUGACGCCUGCCCGGUGCCGGAAGGUUAAUUGAUGGGGUCAGCGCAAGCGAAGCUCCUGAUCGAAGCCCCGGUAAACGGCGGCCGUAACUAUAACGGUCCUAAGGUAGCGAAAUUCCUUGUCGGGUAAGUUCCGACCUGCACGAAUGGCGUAAUGAUGGCCAGGCUGUCUCCACCCGAGACUCAGUGAAAUUGAACUCGCUGUGAAGAUGCAGUGUACCCGCGGCAAGACGGAAAGACCCCGUGAACCUUUACUAUAGCUUGACACUGAACAUUGAGCCUUGAUGUGUAGGAUAGGUGGGAGGCUUUGAAGUGUGGACGCCAGUCUGCAUGGAGCCGACCUUGAAAUACCACCCUUUAAUGUUUGAUGUUCUAACGUGGACCCGUUACCCGGGUUGCGGACAGUGUCUGGUGGGUAGUUUGACUGGGGCGGUCUCCUCCUAAAGAGUAACGGAGGAGCACGAAGGUUGGCUAAUCCUGGUCGGACAUCAGGAGGUUAGUGCAAUGGCAUAAGCCAGCUUGACUGCGAGCGUGACGGCGCGAGCAGGUGCGAAAGCAGGUCAUAGUGAUCCGGUGGUUCUGAAUGGAAGGGCCAUCGCUCAACGGAUAAAAGGUACUCCGGGGAUAACAGGCUGAUACCGCCCAAGAGUUCAUAUCGACGGCGGUGUUUGGCACCUCGAUGUCGGCUCAUCACAUCCUGGGGCUGAAGCAGGUCCCAAGGGUAUGGCUGUUCGCCAUUUAAAGUGGUACGCGAGCUGGGUUUAGAACGUCGUGAGACAGUUCGGUCCCUAUCUGCCGUGGGCGCUGGAGAACUGAGGGGGGCUGCUCCUAGUACGAGAGGACCGGAGUGGACGCAUCACUGGUGUUCGGGUUGUCAUGCCAAUGGCACUGCCCGGUAGCUAAAUGCGGAAGAGAUAAGUGCUGAAAGCAUCUAAGCACGAAACUUGCCCCGAGAUGAGUUCUCCCUGAGACUUAGAGUCUCCUGAAGGAACGUUGAAGACGACGACGUUGAUAGGCCGGGUGUGUAAGCGCAGCGAUGCGUUGAGCUAACCGGUACUAAUGAACCGUGAGGCUUAACCUUACAACGCCGAAG